UGCCCCAUUCUCAAAGAGAAUAGGCACUGUUGAUCAUGCGAUCCAGAGAUUGUUAAUGGGGCUACAUUGAGAAACAAGCUAUGUUUCCAUUCACAGCAAACACAUCGCAGUGGUGACAAUGAGACCUGUAACAUUU
Molecule: small nucleolar RNA, 136 nt
Organism: Gorilla gorilla gorilla (western lowland gorilla)
Lineage: Eukaryota; Metazoa; Chordata; Mammalia; Primates; Hominidae
Source: Ensembl